Molecule: ribosomal RNA, 253 nt
Filed under: uncultured bacterium
Lineage: Bacteria
Description: partial 16S ribosomal RNA
Rfam family: Bacterial small subunit ribosomal RNA
Source: RNAcentral
UACGUAGGUGGCAAGCGUUGUCCGGAUUUAUUGGGUUUAAAGGGUGCGUAGGCGGUUAUAUAAGUCAGUGCUGGAAUAUCCCGGCUUAACCGGGAGGGUGGCAUUGAUACUGUAUGACUUGAGUAAAGUUGAGGUUGGCGGAAUUGACGGUGUAGCGGUGAAAUGCUUAGAUAUCGUCAAGAACACCGAUUGCGAAGGCAGCUAACUAAGCUUUAACUGACGCUGAGGCACGAAAGUGUGGGGAUCAAACAGG